Long non-coding RNA from Lotus japonicus, 296 nucleotides. RefSeq lists it as uncharacterized. The transcript is spliced from 3 exons. The record is from RefSeq and is a predicted model, not a curated record. NCBI's taxonomy places the organism in Eukaryota, Viridiplantae, Streptophyta, Magnoliopsida, Fabales, Fabaceae.
CUUUUUGAAUCUCUCUCGAUUCGUCUGUAAAGGGAAACAUGGAAAGACUAUUCUUGAUCAAACAGCUGCAAGCACUGUCUCACUCAUUUUGCUCUUGCUGAUGAUAUCAUUUCCAAGAUAUGCAGCAAUGUUGGGUGCAUCACCUACAAGUAGAAUCAGUUUGAAACCGGUAAUCUUUAAUCCUUCAGUUGAUCUUCUUCUGAGUAAUAAGAAAAGCUUUGAGAUUGAAAUCUAAAAUGUUGACAAGUAGAUAUCAUGGACUAAUUACACAUAGCAGAAUUGCAGAAAGCAGGCAG